GAGAGCAGAGAGAAGGGGAGAGAGAUGAAGAGAGUGAGGGAGAGGGAUAACAGGCUCUUUCUCCUUCUGCUGUGCAACAUUAGUACCAGAAUUCAGUAUACACAUGUACACAAAGUUAGGGGUCUAUAUGUUUCUGUUUCUCAUUUCUCUCUGGGUUCAAUUUUCAUUGGUGGAGGUGGAACUUGGACCUCUCUGCUCUACUCAGGUGGCUCUUCUAGGAAGACAUGGGGAGCAGUGAGGGACGAUAGAGUACUGUGCAUUGGUGGGAAUCCUCACUGGCCAGAGGGAAGCCACAGGGUGAGGAAGGACUCCUCACUGGCCAGAGGGAAGCCGCAGGGCAAGGAAGGACUCCUCACUGACCAGAGGGAAGCCACAGGUUGAGGAAGGACUCCUCACUGGCCAGAGGGAAGCCGCAGGGCAAGGAAGGACUCCUCACUGACCAGAGGGAAGCCACAGGGAGAGGAAGGACUCCUCACUGGCCAAAGGGAAGCCACAGGGAGUGGAAGGACUCCUCACUGGGCAAAGGGAAGCCACAGGGAGUGGAAGGACUCCUCACUGGGCAAAGGGAAGCCACAGGGAGAGGAAGGACUCCUCACUGUCCAGAGGGAAGCCACAGGGAGAGGUUAUGGGCAGUCCACAUGGUCCAGACGGAGUCUUCAGGCAUGGAGGAGUACCUAGAAACCGGUAAUGACACAAUACAUGGUGAUAAAUCAUUGGUGAUAUUGCAUUGGUGAUGCAUCAGGAAGAUCAGCACAACAUGUGGAUCUGGCCUCUUCUUCUCAAGACCACUUGUGGUACAGCAGGGGGAAGGAUCAAGGCAGUUCAUGAGCAUGUCUGUAAGAUAGCAGGGCGAGGAGCACACAGAAGCUUCAGUAGGACCAGCUAUGCAGCAUGAUCCAGGAGGAACCCGCCUCACGUUGGAGGAGGAGCAGAAACAGCUGAGCCCCUGCCCUGUAGAAUCUGACUCCACCCCACCCGCCCCCAGGAUCUGACUCCACCCC
Paramormyrops kingsleyae is the source of this 1001-nucleotide non-coding RNA. The record is from RefSeq and is a predicted model, not a curated record. Lineage: Eukaryota; Metazoa; Chordata; Actinopteri; Osteoglossiformes; Mormyridae.